UACCAUUUUAAAAUAAUACGAAAAUCCCUUCUUUUCACUCAAAAUCCAACUGCCGUCUGCCAGAUACAUUAUUUCAUUUCCACUCCAAAUUUACGUUUCUAACUCCUAUAUUUACUCCUUCAAUUUCUCUCUCUUUUCACUCACAUAAUCAAAUCAGUUACCACAUUAAUCAAAAUUUGAAUUUCAAGAGGUUUCUCUCUCCAGUCAACUAAUUUCAGAUCUGUAGGUCUAUAAGGUUGCAGGAUCCUUUAACAAUGACAAAUCAAAGUUCAGAGAAGGCAAAAGCAAAAAAUGAUGUACAUGCAUCAACCUGCAUCAUCGAAAGCAAAGGUUGAAAAACAACAACAAAAAAGAGGUAGAAAGGUUGCCCCUGCCAUAUCUCAACCUACACUAUUCAGGGUAUGUAUUUUGAACUAUGUAUUUUAGUAUUUAUUUAUUUUAUUUUAAAUUUAUGUCUUUCCAUGUUGAACUAUUGGAUCCACAACAUUCGUUUGAGGUGGAAUUUGUUCAAGAUAUUAUGCUACAAGAAAGCGACAAUCUGUAACUAUUGAAUUAAUUUUUCUUUACUUACACAUUUGAUCUGUUUUUAUAAUGUAUCUUCUUCUAUUUUGUAGUGACUGCGAAAUGUUUUUUUUUUAAAAUCAUUUUCGGUCCACAGUUGGACCUAUUUUAUUAACUAAAAAACACAGGAAACUAGUUCCUUACAGUUUAGGCCCAAAUGGUCCUUCCCAAAAACAAAACAAGGAAUCAAAGGUUUCUUAAUCUAGGCAUUGUUCAAAGAAGUGUUCCAGACUCUUCUCAAGCUCGCUAUCAUACGAGAAGCUGAAGCUCUGCUUGGAAUUUCCAGCUUCAUCCAUGGUUGUGGGCGCCAUCUUUCCAUGGUAAGUUUCUACUCUUUCUUUCCUUAAUCCUGAUCUCCUCCGAUAUGACUUGCGUUGACUUCAGGUGGGCUGAGUUCAUCCUUGAUGAGUUGAUCCAUCUUCGUAAGUUCACCCUCCCUCUAUUUUGCGUUCACUGCGCAAUGUUUUUUGUUGAAUUUCUGAGCGAUGAAAUCAACAUCCCAUCUAAUGAUUUUCGAAGUGACUAUCUUCGCACAAGAUAUGCAACAUUGUUAUGAAAGUAUGGUCUCAGCAAGGCCAAGACGGGAUAUGUUAGCGAGAAUGAUGAUCCUACAAGGCCGAAGAGUGACUACACUCCACCAACAGAAGAUGAUCUUGUUAAUGUAGAAUAGAUUUUUAUGUAUCGAUUCACCGACAAUUGUUGAUGAUCUAUUGUUUUUAAGAUACAUUAAUUAGUGUUUUUGAGUAUUUCUUCCCUUUUGAA
Long non-coding RNA from Solanum tuberosum (potato), 1323 nucleotides. RefSeq lists it as uncharacterized. NCBI's taxonomy places the organism in Eukaryota, Viridiplantae, Streptophyta, Magnoliopsida, Solanales, Solanaceae. The transcript has 2 exons. The record is from RefSeq and is a predicted model, not a curated record.